RNAcentral lists this unclassified non-coding RNA (1149 nucleotides) under Hevea brasiliensis (rubber tree). Lineage: Eukaryota; Viridiplantae; Streptophyta; Magnoliopsida; Malpighiales; Euphorbiaceae. The record is from RNAcentral.
UCCGUUUCUUCCUCCGAUUCGAGUAAAACCCUCCCUCGCUUCACUCCGCCAGCAACUCUUGCCGUGUCUUCAGCCGCAAAUUUAUAAUGGCUGCUGCCAAUGGCUCUAGUGACUUGUAUUCAGAGAUGGAGGUGGACGCAUUUAGACGUCUUUUCCCUUUGCGCUAUCAUGAGCAGCAUCUUCUCAAAUCGGUCCGACCUGAUGCUCGAAAGCUUGGAAGUGCUAGAGAUACAACACUUGCGCUUGGUGCCGUGGCCUCUGCUGAGGGAUCAGCACUGGCAAAGAUUGGCUCCACUACGAUGCUGGCCGCCAUCAAAAUGGAAAUCAUGACACCAACUGUUGAAUGUCCAGAUGAGGGAUCCAUAGCUAUCGAAUUUCACAUGCCUCCCAUUUGUUCUCCCCUUGUACGGCCUGGUAGGCCUGCAGAGGCAGCAUCAGUAAUUUCUAAGCAGCUGUCAGACACUAUCUUGAGUUCUGGCAUGAUUGACUUGAAAGAGUUGUGCUUGGUUGGAGGAAAAGCUGCAUGGAUGGCCUACCUGGACAUAUACUGUUUGGAUGCUGACGGUUCUCUGUUUGACGCUGCAUUACUAUCUGCAGUUGCUGCCUUUUCGCAUUUGAACAUUCCAGUAGUGUCUUUGAAUGAAGAUGGGCGAAUAGUUCUUGUCUCUGAGGACAAUAACCAGUUGAAAUUGGAGAAGCAGCCUGUCAAUACAGAGAAAAGAAAACUAAAAUUGAACUCUCCACCAUUCUCCUUAACGUGCUUACUUCACAAGAACUACAUCCUAGCAGAUCCUACAGCAGAGGAAGAAUCUAUAAUGGAAACGGCUGUAACUGUGGUAUUGGAUUCGUCCUACCAGCUUGUUUCACUUUAUAAACCAGGGGGACCAGUUCAUGCCCAUACAUCAGUCAUCCAGGAUUGUGUCGCACUGGCAAAACGCAGAGUGAAAGAGCUUCAGAGCGUCUUAAAUGAAGCUAUUUCUGAUAUGGAGGUUGAGUGAAGUAGAUUUUCCUUGCACUAUACUUAAUAUUCAGCAGACAGCUGGUUUCAUCUUUAGGAUUAAGUUCCUGAACAGCUGAACUAGUGUACUUUUUCGGGUAAAUGCCUUAGAAAGGUAGCUCUGGUAGCCAUUGCUUGCAAAUACAAUUCUG